CCUACGGGAGGCAGCAGUGGGGAAUAUUGCACAAUGGGGGAAACCCUGAUGCAGCGACGCCGCGUGAGUGAAGAAGUAUUUCGGUCUGUAAAGCUCUAUCAGCAGGGAAGAAAAUGACGGUACCUGAUUAAGAAGCCCCGGCUAACUACGUGCCAGCAGCCGCGGUAAUACGUAGGGGGCAAGCGUUAUCCGGCUUUACUGGGUGUAAAGGGAGCGUAGACGGCAGCACAAGGCUGGAGUGAAAUGCCGGGGCUUAACCCCGGAACUGCUUUGGAAACUGUGCAGCUAGAGGGCAGGAGAGGUAAGUGGAAUUCCUAGUGUAGCGGUGAAAUGCGUAGAUAUUAGGAGGAACACCAGUGGCGAAGGCGGCUUACUGGACUGUAACUGACGUUGAGGCUCGAAAGCGUGGGGAGCAAACAGGAUUAGAUACCCCAGUAGUC
Molecule: ribosomal RNA, 440 nt
Filed under: uncultured bacterium
Lineage: Bacteria
Description: partial 16S ribosomal RNA
Rfam family: Bacterial small subunit ribosomal RNA
Source: RNAcentral